RNAcentral lists this long non-coding RNA (1263 nucleotides) under Anser cygnoides (Swan goose). Its description in RNAcentral is "lncRNA (ENSACDG00005000324.1)". Lineage: Eukaryota; Metazoa; Chordata; Aves; Anseriformes; Anatidae. The record is from RNAcentral.
AUGCGCCGUGCGGCGUCUUUCUUUCGCCGCAGCCCGGUCCCGGUACCCUCGGCGGCGAUCGAUAAACUAAUUACGGAGGCAAAUAAUGGCAGUGGGAGAGGAGGGAGGCGAGGAGCCGGCUGCGGGGAGCUCUGCCAGGAGCCGGAGGCAGCGGGAGAGGAGGAGGAGGAGGAGGAGGAGGAGAGCCGGCCGUGGGGCUCAGCCCCUCUGCUCCCCAGGGCAGGAUGCGACCCGCUGGGGCUGCAGAGGCAGCCGCACGCCGGGGGCUGGGGGUGCAGCCAGAGCCUCUCCCCCCAUCCGUCACGGCCGCAGCCCCCAGCUGAUCAGAUCGCGUCUUCCAGCAGGAAUAAGCCUGCUUCUGCCCUGCCUCGGGGGCGCGGGGAAGGUGGCCCAAGCCUGUUUGUUUGGCUGAUUAGCAGAAAGCAAAGCCUCCCCCACCGCAGGCGUGGGUGCAAGGAAGCCAGACAGCCUGCGGCCAGGCGUCAGCAGAGCCACCGAAGCAGCUCGGGGCUGGAGACGAGCACAGACAGGGCAGUGCCACGCAGGCACGGGGAGACAGAGCUGCUCGGGGCCGUGCAGAGGGGAGAUGCUCCCGGCAGCGCCUCGGCCCCUGGGGCAGGCUCGGGGUCUGCAAAGGGAACGAGCACCGGGGGCUCCAGGCUCGGGGUCUGCAAAGGGAACGAGCACCGGGGGCUCCUCGGGCAGACGCUGUGCUCUGGGGGCGAGGGCAGCGAGGCUGCACGGCACCACCGCGCGCCCUACAAACGCUCUCAGUUUCGGGUGCGCGAGCAGGGUCCUUCCCACCACAGCACGGGACGUGCCAGCUGGGCACCCCCGCGGAGGAGGACGAGGUUUUCACCCCCCGGGGACCCAUCCCCCAGGGCAAAGAGGGUUUGGCGGGAUGACCCAGAAUUUUUGCCAUCGAUUAACAAGAAAAACAGGAGAGACCCACAGGAGGGCUCCGGGCGGGGGCACGCCAACUGCUGGCACCGCGGCUGCCUCCCAUCCCAGCGGCCCGGCACAGCCUCUGCCCCCCUGCCCCGUGCCCCAGGGGGGGGUCCCGCUGCCCUCCCUGCGGAUCGGGGCGAGAGGUCGCUUCGCCCUCUCCCUCCGUUGGCAACCGAAGCCCCGGCGCCUUUCCACGCUCGUUUCCAGGACAGGGGUCGGGAGCGCUGGGUUUUUUUAUGGGAGCCUCGUGGAACAGCUGGGAACGGAUGGCAGGAGGCUCGGGGGGGCUUUAAAAGCCGCUUUGCGGUCGCGUAA